UACGAAGGGGGCUAGCGUUGCUCGGAAUCACUGGGCGUAAAGGGUGCGUAGGCGGGUUUUUAAGUCAGGGGUGAAAUCCUGGAGCUCAACUCCAGAACUGCCUUUGAUACUGAAGAUCUCGAGUCCGGGAGAGGUGAGUGGAACUGCGAGUGUAGAGGUGAAAUUCGUAGAUAUUCGCAAGAACACCAGUGGCGAAGGCGGCUUACUGGUCCGGUUCUGACGCUGAGGCGCGAAAGCGUGGGGAGCAAACAGG
Molecule: ribosomal RNA, 253 nt
Filed under: uncultured bacterium
Lineage: Bacteria
Description: partial 16S ribosomal RNA
Rfam family: Bacterial small subunit ribosomal RNA
Source: RNAcentral